Molecule: long non-coding RNA, 300 nt
Organism: Haplochromis burtoni (Burton's mouthbrooder)
Lineage: Eukaryota; Metazoa; Chordata; Actinopteri; Cichliformes; Cichlidae
Exons: 3
Source: RefSeq, a predicted model, not a curated record
UAGGAGAUUAUCUCCAGUCUUCAGUCGAUGAACUUGGACCAUCAGGCAAAAAACAUCAACAACACAAACACAGACCACAGUUUCCAGGAUCCAGCUCUGUGUCCAUGAACAGUGACAUGUCCAGAGAUUAUCCUCCAGUCUUCAGUCAUGAACCUGGACCUUCAGGCACACAACGUAAACAACACAAACACCAAGCAGAGUUUCCAGGAUCCAGCUCUGUGUCCAUGAACAGUGACAUGUCCAGAGAUUAUCCUCCAGUCUUCAGUCAUGAACCUGGACCCCCAAUCACACAGUAAGAGG